This 253-nucleotide ribosomal RNA is filed under the name uncultured bacterium. RNAcentral's name for it is "partial 16S ribosomal RNA". It matches the Rfam family "Bacterial small subunit ribosomal RNA", at positions 524 to 776 of the family's 1533-position model. The record is from RNAcentral.
UACGUAGGGGGCAAGCGUUGUCCGGAAUCAUUGGGCGUAAAGCGCGUGUAGGCGGUUCGAUAAGUCUGCUGUGAAAGUCCAGGGCUCAACCCUGGGAUGCCGGUGGAUACUAUCGGGCUAGAGUGCGGAAGAGGCGAGUGGAAUUCCUGGUGUAGCGGUGAAAUGCGCAGAUAUCAGGAGGAUCACCAAUUGCGAAGGCAGCUCGCUGGAACGUAACUGACGCUGAGACGCGAAAGCGUGGGGAGCAAACAGG